RNAcentral lists this non-coding RNA (25 nucleotides) under Mus musculus (house mouse). Lineage: Eukaryota; Metazoa; Chordata; Mammalia; Rodentia; Muridae. The record is from RNAcentral.
UCUCCCACUAUUAUUGUGUGAGGCG